UCCCUGGUAGUAUAUCGGUUAGUACACGCGCCUGUCAUUUUCAUCUUACCGCGCGAAAGCUGGGUUCGACUCCCAGCCAGGGAG
Molecule: non-coding RNA, 84 nt
Organism: Lentinula lateritia
Lineage: Eukaryota; Fungi; Basidiomycota; Agaricomycetes; Agaricales; Omphalotaceae
Source: the annotation of a GenBank genome assembly